Molecule: ribosomal RNA, 252 nt
Filed under: uncultured bacterium
Lineage: Bacteria
Description: partial 16S ribosomal RNA
Rfam family: Bacterial small subunit ribosomal RNA
Source: RNAcentral
GACGUAGGGGGCCAGCGUUGUUCGGAAUUACUGGGUGUAAAGGGUUCGUAGGCGGUGCGGCAAGUUGGGAGUGAAAUCUCUGGGCUUAACCCAGAGGCUGCUUCCAAAACUGCUGUGCUUGAGUGUGGGAGAGGCGCGUGGAAUUCAGGUGUAGCGGUGAAAUGCGUAGAUAUCUGCAGGAACACCCGUGGCGAAAGCGGCGCGCUGGACCACUACUGACGCUGAUGCACGAAAGCUAGGGGAGCAAACAGG